CAGGGAAUAUUAGAAAUGGACGAAAGUCUGAUCUAGCAACACCGCGUGUGCGAAGAAGGCCUUCGGGUCGUAAAGCACUUUUUGGAAGGAAUAGGAAGGAAUGUACUUCCAGAAUAAGUCUCGGCUAACUACGUGCCAGCAGCCGCGGUAACACGUAGGAGGCAAACGUUAUCCGGAUUUACUGGGCGUAAAGCGCGUGUAGGUGGUUCUGUAAGUAGGGCGUGAAAGCUCCUGGCUCAACUGGGAGAGGCCGUUCUAAACUGCAGAGCUAGAGGAUGGUAGAGGGAGGUGGAAUUCCGGGUGUAGCGGUGGAACGCGCAGAUAUCCGGAGGAACACCAGUGGCGAAAGCGGCCUCCUGGACCAUUCCUGACACUCAGACGCGAAAGCUAGGGUAGCAAACG
This 402-nucleotide ribosomal RNA is filed under the name uncultured prokaryote. RNAcentral describes it as "bacterial SSU rRNA". It matches the Rfam family "Bacterial small subunit ribosomal RNA", at positions 355 to 774 of the family's 1533-position model. The record is from RNAcentral.